UUUAAGUAAUUUUAAACCUUACAGAAAUUCCUCUCUUCUUCAGGAAGUGGUUUCUUUAUAAGCCUUUGAAUUUUUCCUUUAGAAUUGUACACAGUUUUCCUUGAAGUUUUCACAAUGAUGUGUUUGUCAGCUUCAAGAAAUGCAAGGAGCUGUCCUCAUGACUUGGGGGUCACCUGUCCCUUUGGCUAAAGGAAGUCAUUGCAGAAAAUAAGCAAGUUCUGGUGAAGAUCUGCAGAGCGGCCGCUUCAGUGCACAGAGACAAUACACUGUACACAGAUUUCAGAUUGCAGUAGUGUUUGGGCUCUGACACACAAUGUUUCACUCUGUUGUUUGAGAUUUUGCCACAAAAACCUUGGGAAGAAAGGAACCUUCUUCCCCAUUGCAAGGCUGGUAUUGUUUGGGAUACCCUGCUGGGCUUCUGAAGAGAAGUGA
This 432-nucleotide long non-coding RNA is filed under the name Calidris pygmaea (Spoon-billed sandpiper). RNAcentral describes it as "lncRNA (ENSCPGG00000019078.1)". The record is from RNAcentral. Lineage: Eukaryota; Metazoa; Chordata; Aves; Charadriiformes; Scolopacidae.